UCAGUGAACCAGAAAAACAUGGUUUCGAGUUUCCACUUAUAGCAUGUUGUGGCUACGGUGGAAAGUACAAUUACAGUAGUACUAUUGGAUGUGGAGAUACAGUUACAGAAGACGAUGGUACCCAAAUAGUUGUGGGUUCUUGUGAUCGCCCUGCAGUUCGAGUAAGUUGGGAUGGAGCUCACUACACUGAAGCUGCCAAUAAAUUUA
This 207-nucleotide unclassified non-coding RNA is filed under the name Hevea brasiliensis (rubber tree). The record is from RNAcentral. Lineage: Eukaryota; Viridiplantae; Streptophyta; Magnoliopsida; Malpighiales; Euphorbiaceae.